GACAGAGGUCCCGAGCGUUAGGCGGAAUCACUGGGCUUAAAGCGUGUGUAGGCGGAUCGUUAAGUGCCUUGUGAAAUCCCAUGGCUUAACCAUGGAACUGCUUGGCAUACUGGCGGUCUUGAGCCACUUAGGGGCAACCGGAACAAAUGGUGGAGCGGUGAAAUGCGUAGAUAUCAGGAGGAACACCAAUGGCGAAGGCAGCUCGCUGGGACGGUACUGACGCUGAGGCGCGAAAGCGUGGGGAGCAAACAGG
This 253-nucleotide ribosomal RNA is filed under the name uncultured bacterium. RNAcentral's name for it is "partial 16S ribosomal RNA". It matches the Rfam family "Bacterial small subunit ribosomal RNA", at positions 524 to 776 of the family's 1533-position model. The record is from RNAcentral.